GGUGCAUGUCAGUGGUAGAGAGCUUGCCUAGUGCUUAUGUGGCCCUGGGUUCAAUCCCCAGUACCA
Molecule: transfer RNA, 66 nt
Filed under: Marmota monax (woodchuck)
Lineage: Eukaryota; Metazoa; Chordata; Mammalia; Rodentia; Sciuridae
Description: tRNA.Thr
Source: RNAcentral